Non-coding RNA from Triticum aestivum (bread wheat), 126 nucleotides. The record is from Rfam. NCBI's taxonomy places the organism in Eukaryota, Viridiplantae, Streptophyta, Magnoliopsida, Poales, Poaceae.
UAAGUACUCCCUCCAUCCGGAUAAACUUGUCCCAAGCUUGUUUCUCAAAUGGAUGUAUCUAGCACUAACUUGAUGCUAGAUACAUCUAUUCGAGGGACAAGCUUUUUCGGACGGAGGGAAUACAAA